Molecule: ribosomal RNA, 408 nt
Filed under: uncultured bacterium
Lineage: Bacteria
Description: partial 16S ribosomal RNA
Rfam family: Bacterial small subunit ribosomal RNA
Source: RNAcentral
GACGAACGCUGGCGGCGUGCUUAACACAUGCAAGUCGAACGGAGUGGCGAACGGGUGAGUAACACGUGGGUGAUCUGCCUUGCACUUCGGGAUAAGCUUGGGAAACUGGGUCUAAUACCGGAUAGUGCAAGAUGAGCUCGCGGCCUAUAAGCUUGUGGGUGGGGUAAUGGCCUACCAAGGCGUCGACGGGUAGCCGGCCUGAGAGGGUGUACGGCGACAUUGGGACUGAGAGACGGCGCAGAGGCCAACGGGGGGCAGCAGUGGGGAGUAUUGCACAAUGAGCGGGAGCCUGAUGCAGCGACGCCGCGUGGGGAAUGAAGGCCUUCGGGUUAUGAACUCCUUUCGGCAGGGACGCGGUACCUGUAUAAGAAGCACCGGCUAACUACGUGCCAGCCGCCGCGGUAAUUC